CCUACGGGAGGCAGCAGUGAGGAAUAUUGGUCAAUGGCCGGAAGGCUGAACCAGCCAAGCCGCGUGAAGGACGAAGGUGCCAAGCAUUGUAAACUUCUUUUGUCAAGGGACAAAAUCAGGCUCGAGAGCCUGACCGAGUGUACUUGAAGAAAAAGCAUCGGCUAACUCCGUGCAAGCAGCCGCGGUAAUACGGAGGAUGCGAGCGUUAUCCGGAGUUAUUGGGUUUAAAGGGUGCGUGGGCGGGCUGUUAAGUCUGCGGUAAAAGCCCGGGGCUCAACCCCGGCGAGCCGUUGAAACUGGCUGUCUUGAGAUGUCGCGAGGUAUGCGGAAUGUAUGGUGUAGCGGUGAAAUGCUUAGAGAUCAUACAGAACACCGAUUGCGAAGGCAGCUUACCAAUCUAUAUCUGACGUUGAGGCACGAAAGCGUGGGGAGCAAACAGGAUUAGAUACCCCUGUAGUC
RNAcentral lists this ribosomal RNA (459 nucleotides) under uncultured bacterium. Its description in RNAcentral is "partial 16S ribosomal RNA". It matches the Rfam family "Bacterial small subunit ribosomal RNA", at positions 338 to 795 of the family's 1533-position model. The record is from RNAcentral.